This 1866-nucleotide ribosomal RNA is filed under the name Triticum aestivum (bread wheat). RNAcentral's name for it is "partial small subunit ribosomal RNA". The record is from RNAcentral. Lineage: Eukaryota; Viridiplantae; Streptophyta; Magnoliopsida; Poales; Poaceae.
AUGCUCUCGUGCUCACGUCUCUCCGAGCUCGCGACGGCAACUCUGACCACGCCGCCCGCGGCCACCGCUCCUGCCGCCGCGCUGGCCGCGGUCGCCCUCGCCGUCCGUGGGUCUGAUCCGGCCAUUGGGGGUCGGAUGGCUCAAGCUCGCCCCAUCCCCAAGUCCGCGACGGCCCGUCCCCUGCCAGAUCCGGUUCGGGAGGGACUGGUUCUGGUCGUUCCGCUGACCGAGCCGCCUUUGGCAGGCCGCAGCCCCAUGGAUGGGGUCGGGGUGGUGAUGGAGCUCGGGUCUGCGUCGUCGUCUUUGCCUCCGACACCCCUGCCUGCCAUCCCUGUUGCUGCCACCGGGGGUGCCAUCGACCAGCUGCAACCCCCACCGCUGGUGUCUCUGGUAGCUGUGACCAUGCUGUCCUCCCGUGCAGCAGCACCGACCGCCUCCGGAGGUGUGGAUUCUGGCGAAGCUCGUGGAACCGACGAUGGGUGCGAUGACGCGACGAUGCCAGAGAAGUUGGAGUCUCCUCUGCUUGGUCCAUCUUCGGCGUCGGCAUGCAAGGGCCUCUCUGCUGCUGCUGCCGCUCUUGAAGCCGAGGCGGGCUGGGAGCAUGUGGGUCGGGGGCGUCGUUCCGGCCAGGGCACUCCUCUCGAGCCAUCGAGGAAAGGUCUCGAGCGUAGCCUCGCCUUCAAGCGUUGGGCUCGAGGGAGGUGCUUUCGUUGCCUCGCGCGUGGCCAUCAAGUCAAUGCAUGUCGUGAGCCUUUCAGAUGCAUUCGCUGUCGUCGCUCUGGACAUCGGGAGAGGUUCUGUCGUGCUUCCUCUCCGGUCGCUUGCAAUCGCUCUUCGGUCACUCGUGCUCCUCUCCAGCGGAGCCGCUCCUCGUCCGUCCAGCCUUGUCCUUCGCUGACCAGGAGUUGGGCUGAGGUUGUGGGCCACACGUCGUCGUGUGUGUCGGUGCCGCCAAGGUCCCAAUAUGGGUGUUGCAAGGAUUCCAAUGUCAACGCCUCUUUGGUCUCUGCUUUGGAGUCGCAGCUUGCCCUGCUGCGCACGGAGCUCCUUCAGGAGGUUGAGCUGCUCCGUGCUGAGCUUCGCGACGCUCUAGCCAAGCUUGAGGUUGCGUCAGUUGUGCCUUUGCUACCUGAGCUCCAGGUUGGUUCCAUUGUUGAGGAUGCAGAAGGUUUCUUUGGAGAUUUUUCUCCUUGUGCUUUGCAUGUGACGCCGCUUGUUCGUGGGAGCGCGGUUAUCACUGAGGUCGUAGCUCCGGUUCUGCAGAUUAUGCCAGAGUUGCACGAGCUUUGUGGGGAAUCAUCUAUAGUGUUACCAUUGGAGCUGAGCGCAUUGGAGUCAUUGGCGGUGGCCAUGACACCCUCACUUCCACCGUCAGAGUCCUGUCAGCCGCCCGCCUUUGCGGACUGUGGAGACUUGGUUGGUUCUGUCACUGCUUCAUCUAUGGCCAUUGGGCAUGUGGCGUCUUUGAGUGGCGAGGUUGAUGAGUUAGGUGUGUUGGCGCCUAACUCCGAGGCUCUAUCAUGUGAGCAACUGGAGACGCUCGAGUCCAUCGUGUCAGUGGUACCUGUGACUGAUGAUGUUGAGGUGGUUGGUAUGUUGGCGCCUGAUCCUUCGGUGCGCAACCAGCCGCUCAUCUUUGUGGAGCAUGGAGGUUCCGAUGUUGUAGUCACCCACUCGCACGUGACCGUUGGGCAGGUUUCUGUGCGUGACAAAGUCAAUGACAUUCUCUUCGAUUUAGAGCUUCACAGCUUGCUCAAACGUUUGGAGAGGGUGAGCCCUGGAUCUGGCAAGGCGAUUGUGGAGGAGGCUCUCAGGAGCAAAGGAAAGAAGAGUGAGGCCACAGGAAAGGCGUCCGCAGCAGCUUGA